RNAcentral lists this ribosomal RNA (468 nucleotides) under uncultured bacterium. RNAcentral's name for it is "partial 16S ribosomal RNA". It matches the Rfam family "Bacterial small subunit ribosomal RNA", at positions 28 to 507 of the family's 1533-position model. The record is from RNAcentral.
GACGAACGCUGGCGGCGUGCUUAACACAUGCAAGUCGAACGGAAAGGCCCUGCUUUUGUGGGGUGCUCGAGUGGCGAACGGGUGAGUAACACGUGAGUAAACUGCCCUUGUCUUUGGGAUAACUUCAGGAAACUGGGGCUCAUAUCGGAUAGGAGCUCCUGCUGCAUGGGGGGGGUUGGAAAGUUUCGGCGGUUGGGGAUGGAAUCGAGGCUUAUCAGCUUGUUGGUGGGGUAGUGGCUUACCAAGGCUUUGACGGGUAGCCGGCCUGAGAGGGUGACCGGCCACAUUGGGCCUGAGGUACGGACCAGACUCCUACGGGAGGCAGCAGUGGGGAAUAUUGCACAAUGGGCGGAAGCCUGAUGCAGCAACGCCGCGUGCGGGAUGACGGCCUUCUGGUUGUAAACCGCUUUCGCCUGUGACGAAGCGUGAGUGACGGUAAUGGGUAAAGAAGCACCGGCUAACUACGUG